Non-coding RNA from Salmo salar (Atlantic salmon), 46 nucleotides. The record is from Rfam. Lineage: Eukaryota; Metazoa; Chordata; Actinopteri; Salmoniformes; Salmonidae.
CCAAAGGCUAUUUUAAGAGCCAUUUACAUUGCAAUUAGGGUAUUCU